AAAUAAGAAUUAAUAUAAUUGAAUUCAAUUUCGACUUGAAAGUUAGGUUACUAACCCUUAUUUU
RNAcentral lists this transfer RNA (64 nucleotides) under Meteorus pulchricornis. Its description in RNAcentral is "tRNA-Arg". The record is from RNAcentral. Lineage: Eukaryota; Metazoa; Arthropoda; Insecta; Hymenoptera; Braconidae.